This 379-nucleotide ribosomal RNA is filed under the name uncultured bacterium. RNAcentral's name for it is "bacterial SSU rRNA". It matches the Rfam family "Bacterial small subunit ribosomal RNA", at positions 790 to 1167 of the family's 1533-position model. The record is from RNAcentral.
GUAGUCCUAGCCGUAAACGUUGGGUGCUAGGUGUGGGGCGGCGAUUGACCCGCUCUGUGCCGAAGCUAACGCAUUAAGCACCCCGCCUGGGGAGUACGGCCGCAAGGUUAAAACUCAAAGGAAUUGACGGGGGCCCGCACAAGCGGCGGAGCAUGUGGCUUAAUUCGACGCGACGCGAAGAACCUUACCAGGGCUUGACAUGCGGGGUGAAGCCGGCGAAAGCCGGUCCUCCUUCGGGAGCCCGUACAGGUGCUGCAUGGUCGUCGUCAGCUCGUGCCGUGAGGUGUUGCCUUAAGUGGCGCAACGAGCGCAACCCCUGUCCUAUGUUGCCAGCGGGUCAUGCCGGGGACUCAUAGGAGACUGCCGGUGCCAAACCGGA